RNAcentral lists this ribosomal RNA (292 nucleotides) under uncultured bacterium. Its description in RNAcentral is "partial 16S ribosomal RNA". It matches the Rfam family "Bacterial small subunit ribosomal RNA", at positions 505 to 796 of the family's 1533-position model. The record is from RNAcentral.
GUGUCAGCCGCCGCGGUAAUACGUAGGUGGCAAGCGUUGUCCGGAAUCAUUGGGCGUAAAGCGCGCGCAGGCGGUCCUUUAAGUCUGAUGUGAAAUCUUGCGGCUCAACCGUAAGCGGUCAUUGGAAACUGGGGGACUUGAGUGCAGGAGAGGAAAGCUGAAUUCCAUGUGUAGCGGUGAAAUGCGUAGAGAUAUGGAGGAACACCAGUGGCGAAGGCGGCUUUCUGGCCUGUAACUGACGCUGAGGCGCGAAAGCGUGGGGAGCAAACAGGAUUAGAAACCCCCGUAGUCC